AGGGUUUGAUCAUGGCUCAGAGUGAACGCUGGCGGUAGGCCUAACACAUGCAAGUCGAACGGCAGCACAGAGGAGCUUGCUCCUUGGGUGGCGAGUGGCGGACGGGUGAGGAAUACAUCGGAAUCUACUCUGUCGUGGGGGAUAACGUAGGGAAACUUACGCUAAUACCGCAUACGACCUACGGGUGAAAGCAGGGGAUCUUCGGACCUUGCGCGAUUGAAUGAGCCGAUGUCGGAUUAGCUAGUUGGCGGGGUAAAGGCCCACCAAGGCGACGAUCCGUAGCUGGUCUGAGAGGAUGAUCAGCCACACUGGAACUGAGACACGGUCCAGACUCCUACGGGAGGCAGCAGUGGGGAAUAUUGGACAAUGGGCGCAAGCCUGAUCCAGCCAUACCGCGUGGGUGAAGAAGGCCUUCGGGUUGUAAAGCCCUUUUGUUGGGAAAGAAAUCCAGCCGGCUAAUACCUGGUUGGGAUGACGGUACCCAAAGAAUAAGCACCGGCUAACUUCGUGCCAGCAGCCGCGGUAAUACGAAGGGUGCAAGCGUUACUCGGAAUUACUGGGCGUAAAGCGUGCGUAGGUGGUUAUUUAAGUCCGUUGUGAAAGCCCUGGGCUCAACCUGGGAACUGCAGUGGAUACUGGAUGACUAGAAUGUGGUAGAGGGUAGCGGAAUUCCUGGUGUAGCAGUGAGAUGCGUAGAGAUCAGGAGGAACAUCCAUGGCGAAGGCAGCUACCUGGACCAACAUUGACACUGGAGGGCACGAAAGCG
Molecule: ribosomal RNA, 766 nt
Filed under: uncultured Gammaproteobacteria bacterium
Lineage: Bacteria; Pseudomonadati; Pseudomonadota; Gammaproteobacteria
Description: bacterial SSU rRNA
Rfam family: Bacterial small subunit ribosomal RNA
Source: RNAcentral